GCAGUCGAACGAGGGCCCGGAGCUUGCUCCGGUGACCCGAGUGGCGAACGGGUGAGUAACACGUGAUCAACCUGUCCUAGGGUGAGGGACAACCCGGGGAAACCUGGGCUAAUACCGCAUGAUGUCACACUUCCGCAUGGUGGUGUGAUCAAAGGGGGCCUCUGCUUGCAUGCUCUCGCCCAAGGAGGGGGUCGCGACGUAUCAGCUUGUUGGUGGGGUAACGGCCUACCAAGGCUACGACGCGUAGCGGAUCUGAGAGGAUGAUCCGUCACAUUGGGACUGAGAUACGGCCCAGACUCCUACGGGAGGCAGCAGUGGGGAAUAUUGCGCAAUGGGCGAAAGCCUGACGCAGCGACGCCGCGUGUGGGAGGAAGCCUUUCGGGGUGUAAACCACUGUCAGAGGGGAAGAACUCCGUCCUAGUGAAUAGCUAGGCGAAUGACGGUACCCUCAGAGGAAGCGCCGGCUAACUCCGUGCCAGCAGCCGCGGUAAGACGGAGGGCGCAAGCGUUGUUCGGAAUUACUGGGCGUAAAGCGCGGGCAGGUGGUCCGUUAAGUCGUUUGUGAAAAUCCGGGGCUCAACCCCGUGAAAUGCAGACGAUACUGGCGGNCUAGAGAUCGGUAGAGGCUAGCGGAAUUCCUGGUGUAGCGGUGGA
RNAcentral lists this ribosomal RNA (654 nucleotides) under uncultured bacterium. RNAcentral describes it as "bacterial SSU rRNA". It matches the Rfam family "Bacterial small subunit ribosomal RNA", at positions 57 to 685 of the family's 1533-position model. The record is from RNAcentral.